Molecule: ribosomal RNA, 253 nt
Filed under: uncultured bacterium
Lineage: Bacteria
Description: partial 16S ribosomal RNA
Rfam family: Bacterial small subunit ribosomal RNA
Source: RNAcentral
UACGGAGGGUGCAAACGUUGCUCGGAAUUACUGGGCGUAAAGCGUGCGCAGGCGGUGAUGUAAGACAGAUGUGAAAUCCCCGGGCUCAACCUGGGAACUGCAUUUGUGACUGCAUCGCUGGAGUGCGGCAGAGGGGGAUGGAAUUCCGCGUGUAGCAGUGAAAUGCGUAGAUAUGCGGAGGAACACCGAUGGCGAAGGCAAUCCCCUGGGCCUGCACUGACGCUCAUGCACGAAAGCGUGGGGAGCAAACAGG